This 449-nucleotide ribosomal RNA is filed under the name uncultured bacterium. Its description in RNAcentral is "bacterial SSU rRNA". It matches the Rfam family "Bacterial small subunit ribosomal RNA", at positions 354 to 796 of the family's 1533-position model. The record is from RNAcentral.
GUCGAGAAUCUUCCGCAAUGGACGCAAGUCUGACGGAGCGACGCCGCGUGCGGGAUGAAGGUCUUUGGAUUGUAAACCGCUGUCACGCGUUAUGAAUGCGCGGGGGCCAACACCCCCUGCGUUGACCAAGGCGCGAAAGGAAGACACGGCUAACUCUGUGCCAGCAGCCGCGGUAAUACAGAGGUGUCAAGCGUUGCUCGGUGUCACUGGGCUUAAAGGGCGCGUAGGCUGUGCGGCACGGUUCGGGUGAAAUCCCUCGGCUCAACCGAGGAACUGCCCGGGCGACGGCCGCGCUGGACUGCAUCAGGGGCGGAUGGAACUCCCGGUGGAGCGGUGAAAUGCGUAGAUAUCGGGAGGAACGCCGGUGGCGAAAGCGAUCCGCUGGGGUGCAUGUGACGCUGAGGCGCGAAAGCCAGGGGAGCAAACGGGAUUAGAUACCCGGGUAGUCC